This 90-nucleotide non-coding RNA is filed under the name Brenneria goodwinii. RNAcentral describes it as "Aggregatibacter sRNA 22". It matches the Rfam family "Aggregatibacter sRNA 22". Lineage: Bacteria; Pseudomonadati; Pseudomonadota; Gammaproteobacteria; Enterobacterales; Pectobacteriaceae. The record is from Rfam by way of RNAcentral.
UUGCAGGACAAAGCGCAUGGCGUUUUGAACGCUGCUUGCAGCGACCCCGAAGGGGCGAAGCCCAGGGAAGGGCUGAGUAAUAAGUGCAGC